RNAcentral lists this ribosomal RNA (486 nucleotides) under uncultured bacterium. Its description in RNAcentral is "SSU rRNA". It matches the Rfam family "Bacterial small subunit ribosomal RNA", at positions 26 to 518 of the family's 1533-position model. The record is from RNAcentral.
AGGACGAACGCUGGCGGCGUGCUUAACACAUGCAAGUCACGGGGGCCCGCAAGGGCAACCGGCGAACGGGUGCGUAACACGUGAGCAACCUGCCUAGAUGUGGGGGAUAGCCGGCCCAACGGCCGGGUAAUACCGCAUACGGUCACGAGGAGGAGUCUCCUUGUGAAGAAACCUCCGGGGCAUUUAGAGGGGCUCGCGGCCUAUCAGCUAGUUGGCGGGGUAAUGGCCCACCAAGGCUUCGACGGGUAGCUGGUCUGAGAGGACGACCAGUCACACUGGAACUGAGAUACGGUCCAGACACCUACGGGUGGCAGCAGUCGAGAAUUUUUUCUCAAUGGGCGAAAGCCUGAAGGAGCGACGCCGCGUGGAGGAUGAAGGCUUUCGGGUGUAAACUCCUGUCAUUUGAGAACAAGUGCCAACAAGUAACUACUGUUGGCUUGAUAGUAUCAGAAGAGGAAGGACGGCUAACUCUGUGCCAGCAGCCGC